This 443-nucleotide ribosomal RNA is filed under the name uncultured bacterium. RNAcentral's name for it is "partial 16S ribosomal RNA". It matches the Rfam family "Bacterial small subunit ribosomal RNA", at positions 338 to 795 of the family's 1533-position model. The record is from RNAcentral.
CCUACGGGAGGCAGCAGUGGGGAAUAUUGCGCAAUGUGCGCAACCCUGAUCCAGCGACGCCGCGUGAAUGAAGAAGUCAUUCGGUUUGUAAAGUUCUUUUAGCAGGGACGAAACAGGUGGCACUACCUUAUGAAUAAGCGACUGAUAACUAGGUGGCAGCAGCGGCGGUAAUACGUAGGGGGCAAGCGUUAGCCGGAUUUACUGGGUGUAAAGGGGGCGUAGGCGGGAGUGCAAGUCAGUGGUGAAAAGUGUGGGCUCAACCCCUAGCCUGCAUUAGAAACUGUACUUCUGGAGUGCAGGAGAGGCAAGUGGAAUUCCUAGUGUAGCGGUGAAAUGCGUAGAUAUUAGGAGGAACACCAGUGGCGAAGGCGGAUUACUGGACUGUAACUGACGUUGAGGCGCGAAAGCGUGGGGAGCAAACAGGAUUAGAUACCCUUGUAGUC